ACACAUACUUCUGCGCUUUCCCUGGAAGUGGAGCAUUAGCAACUGCAGUCAGAACGCACCGUUGCUUCUUCAGCUCUGAUCUGAGCAGCAACUGUCGAAUUCUGUCUGGAGGAGAUAGGAGACAGCACUGGAGUCCCAUCUGUAGUGCACGUUCUUGAGAAGUGGCUGGCUGGCAAGGAAGGAGCACACUGCUGAAGGCCCCAGCUGCCAUUAAGACUGGCAUGAAACCAUUACUGACAGAUUGGACACUGUAGUCCUCCAGACAACAUUAAUCUAUUGAUAAUUCUGAAGUGAAGACGUGAUUGAUGCUGCACCAGAAACUGGUGGCAUAGGAAGUUGGCUGCAUUUUCAGAGGAUUUUUUGAGACAUCCUUCUGGCUUUAUUAAGGAUGAACAUAUUUCUUUGUUUGGAAAUUAAGAUGUUCUCUGCUUCUGGGACAUCAUGGUGAAAAUCUGUAAUUAAGGACAGUGGUAAUAAUAUAUGGAUUCUGUUGGAGAUAGAGUGUCGUACAAGUAUUGGAUGAAAUAUUUACCUAGCAAACAGACUUGCUGAUUGAGUGUCUCAGCCCAGACAAUGGGCCCCUGCCUCCAGGAGUGUGCGACUGAAAUAAAUCCACUGACUUGAGCAGCCGCGCUCCAUCCCACGCGACCGGGAGCCGAAGCUGGUUUCUGACACACCAACUUCCAUGGAGCCAGGGAAGAGCGUACAGGUGAGCAGCAUUUUUAAAUCCUUAGCAUGGCUUGUGUCCGUAUCAGCCCUGACUCAUAGGUUAUACACGUAGGGUAUGUAUUAAAUAUCACUGUACUUGCACCAUGUGUAUCUAUUUGAGAUAAUUAUGGCUAUUGGAGUGCUGGUGGGACUUGCAGUCUUUAAUGCACUUAUCCUCACAACAUCUGAUAAAGUGAGGAAGUCUUUUUAUCUGUAUAUUAUACAGAGGAAACUGAAGCCUAGACAGUUUUUUUGCUAUGCCAGGGAACUGAAUCUGGAUUUUCCAAGCUGAAAGCUAGCACUCAGUCUGUUGGUCUGUCUUGAAAUAAGCAGUACAAAUAGGCACAGAGAACAGUGCUUCUUGUAAAUCGGGGAUACUGAACUACUUCACUGUGAUACAGCAGACAUGAUAAAUUGCUACUGUUAAAUAAAGUGUUAGGGAAUUGUCACGUAGCUAUGGAGAGGCCACGCUGUUAUUAAGGAUGCAAAAUGCAUAUAUUUCAGCUUAUUCUUCCAUAUCCAUAUUGACUCUGAAGUGCAAACAAUAAUAAAAAGUAAAUUUUGCCAGUAAACUAACACAAUUUAUCUGGAGGACAGCGCAGAAAGUGGGAGCAGAGCUUGAUCCCUCCCUGCUUGGGAGUGGUGACGUGUUAGCUGAUGGAGGCAGCCCAGCCAGAAGGCAGAGAAUAAUGAUGCUAUUUAUUGUUCUGGUGAGGAUUCAGUGAGACAGGAUGGGGGUUUAGUCCUAAAAAAUUAACAAGGAGUGGAAAUGUGUAUCAGAGCUGGUCAUUGUACUCAGAUCUGUGGUGUCAAUAUCACAAGAUCAUCAUUUUCUCUGUUAUCAUACAAUAAUGUGGGUACAUUGCCAUCUCAGAAGUCAAUGGUUGGUUCAACACAUGAAAAGGAGAUGCCAGAAGUGAAGGUACUGGGGAACUAUGGGCUUUAUUCUGCUGAGGCAAAGAUGUCUCCAAAUCUGUUCCUUUAGUAAGACCAAGACUCUCUGUGAUUGAAAUAACUGACUUUUCGUUUCCCAAGAGCAUCUAGCAUGGGAAUGGGACUAUUACAGUGAAUUUUGCUAUUGCACAGGAAUAAAUCUGGAGUGAUCUCAAAGUUAGUCAAAAUAUGUGGCCUUAUUGUAGAAUUAAAAAUUAUCACACAUGCAUCGAAACCAGAUGAUUUCAUCAGGAAAAAGUCUUCUUCAUUAUGAGGUUAUGGUUUGAAUAUGGCUGCAGAUUGGCCUUCUAAGUUUUAUUUGAUAUUUUUUGAUAUGCUGCAGUAUUUCAUUGUAAUUUAAUGGCAAUUUCUAUUCACACAGCUAUUCUAAAUAGGUUCUUAUACGUACCUAUUACCUUGGUAGCCAGGUUUCUAUAUCAAAUCCUGAACAUUCCAUUAUUAUUAAAAAUAUAAAAUCCAUCUAUUCCAUCUGUUUUGUACAGUAAGGUGAACAAAAUUGGAUGUGAAGUCACAGUGUGGUAACAGGGUAAUUUUUUUUUGAGUUUCUUCUAAUAUACUUAUUGUCAAUUGUAUUGAAGAUGUAUUAUAUUACAGUUGUUCAUGGCUGUUUUAUCAUGUGC
Molecule: long non-coding RNA, 2282 nt
Filed under: Taeniopygia guttata (zebra finch)
Lineage: Eukaryota; Metazoa; Chordata; Aves; Passeriformes; Estrildidae
Description: lncRNA (ENSTGUG00000026558.1)
Source: RNAcentral